UGGGGGAUAUUGCGCAAUGGGCGAAAGCCUGAUGCAGCGACGCCGCGUGGGGGAUGAAGGCCUUCGGGUUGUAAACUUCUUUUGCUCUGAACAAGGCAUGCCUUUGGGGUGUGUUGAGUGUAGGGGUUGAUUAGCGCCGGCUAACUACGUGCCAGCAGCCGCGGUAAUACGUAGGGCGCGAGCGUUGUCCGGAAUUAUUGGGCGUAAAGGGCUUGUAGGUGGCUGGUUGCGUCUGUCGUGAAAGCUCAUGGCUUAACUGUGGGUUUGCGGUGGGUACGGGCUGGCUUGAGUGCAGUAGGGGAGGCUGGAAUUCCUGGUGUAGCGGUGGAAUGCGCAGAUAUCAGGAGGAAUACCGGUGGCGAAGGCGGGUCUCUGGGCUGUUACUGACGCUGAGGAGCGAAAGCGUGGGGAGCGAACAGG
This 420-nucleotide ribosomal RNA is filed under the name Fusobacteriota bacterium. Its description in RNAcentral is "Fusobacteria bacterium partial 16S ribosomal RNA". It matches the Rfam family "Bacterial small subunit ribosomal RNA", at positions 355 to 776 of the family's 1533-position model. The record is from RNAcentral. Lineage: Bacteria; Fusobacteriati; Fusobacteriota.